Long non-coding RNA from Saccostrea cuccullata (small rock oyster), 171 nucleotides. RefSeq lists it as uncharacterized. NCBI's taxonomy places the organism in Eukaryota, Metazoa, Mollusca, Bivalvia, Ostreida, Ostreidae. The transcript has 2 exons. The record is from RefSeq and is a predicted model, not a curated record.
UACAGGUGACUCUCGAUCUCUCGAAGUUCAAGGGACCGCGAGAAAAGUUCGAGAGAUCGAAGGGAGUAAAUUUGCUUAGUUAUAUAGAGGAAAAAAACGGGACCGGGGGUUCACUUCGAGAGAUAGAGAACUUCGAGAGAUCGGAGUUCGAGCCAUCGAGAGUCACCUGUA